Molecule: ribosomal RNA, 554 nt
Filed under: Pisa muscosa
Lineage: Eukaryota; Metazoa; Arthropoda; Malacostraca; Decapoda; Epialtidae
Description: partial large subunit ribosomal RNA
Rfam family: Bacterial large subunit ribosomal RNA
Source: RNAcentral
GUCCACAUGAAGGGUUAUGUGGUCUGGCCUGCUCACUGAAUUUUCGUUUUAAAGAGCCGCAGUAUUUUGACUGUGCAAAGGUAGCAUAAUAAUUAGGUUUUUAAUUGGAACCUUGUAUGAAAGGUUAAACAAGAGAAUUUCUGUCUUUUUUUUAAAAAUUGAAUUUAACUUUUAAGUGAAAAGGCUUAAAUUUUUUAAGGGGACGAUAAGACCCUAUAAAGUUUUAUAAUAAAAUAAAUCUUUAAAGAAGAAAAUUAUAAAUUUAAGAUUUGUUUUUUUAUUUUGUUGGGGCGACACGGAUAUAAAUUUAAUUAACUGUCAGAGAAAAAAAACAUAUAUUUAUGAAAAGUUAAAAUGGUCCUAAAUAUAGAUUAUAAGAUAAAGUUACUUUAGGGAUAACAGCGUAAUUUUUUUCAAGAGUUCUUAUCGAAAAAAAAGUUUGCGACCUCGAUGUUGAAUUAAAAUGUCUUUACAGUGUAGCCGUUGUAUAAAGAAGGUCUGUUCGACCUUUAAAAUUUUACAUGAUUUGAGUUCAAACCGGUGUAAGCCAGGUU